Molecule: non-coding RNA, 216 nt
Organism: Pelobates cultripes (western spadefoot toad)
Lineage: Eukaryota; Metazoa; Chordata; Amphibia; Anura; Pelobatidae
Source: the annotation of a GenBank genome assembly
CAAAUUUGUUUAUGGCCGACUGGGAGUCACAAGCCAUUUUUGGUAACCAUGCGUGGAGAGCAAACCUGGUUUCCUUCUUCAGAUAUAUUGACGAUCUGUUUUUUAUUUGGAAUGGUACCGAAGAAGCUCUAAAUUCUUUUAUCACUAACCUCAACCUGAAUAAUAGAGGUAUAAUACUCACCUGCGAAUACAGUAGAGAACAAAUCAAUUUUUUAG